Molecule: ribosomal RNA, 1362 nt
Filed under: Diomocoris woodwardi
Lineage: Eukaryota; Metazoa; Arthropoda; Insecta; Hemiptera; Miridae
Description: SSU rRNA
Rfam family: Eukaryotic small subunit ribosomal RNA
Source: RNAcentral
CACUCCCGGCACGGGGAGGUAGUGACAAAAAAUAACGAUACGGGACUCUUAUGAGGCCCCGUAAUCGGAAUGAGUACACUUUAAAUCCUUUAACAAGGAUCCAUUGAAGGGCAAGUCUGGUGCCAGCAGCCGCGGUAAUUCCAGCUUCAAUAGCGUAUAUUAAAGUUGUUGCGGUUAAAAAGCUCGUAGUUGGUUCUGCGUGCCACGCUGUCGGUUCGCCGCCUGCCGGUGUAACUGGCAUGCCGUGGCAUGUCCUGUCGGUGGCGUUCGGGAGCCUCGUCUAGGCGCUGGCCCUUGCCAAAAGCUUGGUGCUCGGAGGCCGGGGGUAUACCCGUUCGCCUACUCUAUCCUACCUAGGUGCUCUUCACCGAGUGUCGAGGUAGGCCGACACGUUUACUUUGAACAAAUUAGAGUGCUCAAAGCAGGCUGAAAUCUCUGCCUGAAUAGUGGUGCAUGGAAUAAUAAAACAGGACCUUGGUUCUAUUUUGUUGGUUCUUAGGAACACAAGGUAAUGAUCAAUACGGACAGGCGGGGGCAUUCGUAUUGCGACGUUAGAGGUGAAAUUCUUGGAUCGUCGCAAGACGCACAAGAGCGAAAGCAUUUGCCAAGUAUGUCUUGAUUGAUCAAGAACGAAAGUUAGAGGUUCGAAGGCGAUCAGAUACCGCCCUAGUUCUAACCAUAAACGAUGCCAGCCAGCGAUCCGCCGAUGUUCCUCCGAUGACUCGGCGGGGAGCUUCUUCCCGGGAAACCAAAGCUUUUGGGUUCCGGGGGAAGUAUGGUUGCAAAGCUGAAACUUAAAGGGAAUUGACGGAGGGGCACCACCAGGAGUGGAGCCUGCGGCUUAAAUUUGACUCAACACGGGAAACCUCACCAGGCCAGGACAUUGGAAGGAUUGACAGAUUGAUAGCUCUUUCUUGNAUUCAGUGGGUAGUGGUGCAUGGCCGUUCUUAGUUGGUGGAUCGAUUUGUCUGGUUAAUUCCGAUAACGAACGAGACUCUNGCCUAUUAACUAGGCGUUUUCCGGUGUCCCCGCCACCGGCGACANUCAUUCUUCUUAAGGGGACAGGCGGCUUUUAGCCGCACGAGAUUGAGCAAUAACAGGUCUGUGAUGCCCUUAGAUGUCCUGGGCCGCACGCGCGCUACACUGAAGGAAUCAGCGUGUGCCUCCCAGGCCGAAAGGCCCGGGUAAUCCGCUGAACCUCCUGCGUGCUAGGAAUUGGGGCUUGCAAUUGUUCCCCAUGAACGAGGAAUUCCCAGUAAGCGCGAGUCAUAAGCUCGCGUUGAUUACGUCCCUGCCCUUUGUACACACCGCCCGUCGCUACUACYGAUUGAAUGAUUUAGUGAGGUCUUCGGACUGGCGGUA